CCAGUAGCGUAUAUUAAAGUUGUUGCAGUUAAAAAGCUCGUAGUUGAAUUUCGGGGUUAGUAGGUUGGUCAUGCCUCUGGUAUGUACUGGUCUCACUGAUUCCUCCUUCCUGAUGAACCGUAAUGCCAUUAAUUUGGUGUUGCGGGGAAUUUGGACUGUUACUUUGAAAAAAUUAGAGUGUUUAAAGCAAGCUAACGCUUGAAUACAUUAGCAUGGAAUAAUGAAAUAGGACGUUCGAUCCUAUUUUGUUGGUUUCUAGGAUUGACGUAAUGAUUAAUAGGGAUAGUUGGGGGCAUUAGUAUUCAAUUGUCAGAGGUGAAAUUCUUGGAUUUAUUGAAGACUAACUACUGCGAAAGCAUUUGCCAAGGAUGUUUUCAUUAAUCAAGAACGAAAGUUAGGGGAUCGAAGACGAUCAGAUACCGUCGUAGUCUUAACCAUAAACUAUGCCGACUAGGGAUCGGAUGAUGUUAAUUUUUUAAUGACUCAUUCGGCGCCUUAC
Molecule: ribosomal RNA, 499 nt
Filed under: uncultured Glomeromycotina
Lineage: Eukaryota; Fungi; Glomeromycota
Description: partial small subunit ribosomal RNA
Rfam family: Eukaryotic small subunit ribosomal RNA
Source: RNAcentral